CUACGCACUCCUACGGGAGGCAGCAGUGGGGAAUAUUGCACAAUGGGCGCAAGCCUGAUGCAGCCAUGCCGCGUGUAUGAAGAAGGCCUUCGGGUUGUAAAGUACUUUCAGCAGUGAGGAAGGUGGGUAUGUUAAUAGCAUAUUCAUUUGACGUUAGCUGCAGAAGAAGCACCGGCUAACUCCGUGCCAGCAGCCGCGGUAAUACGGAGGGUGCGAGCGUUAAUCGGAAUUACUGGGCGUAAAGCGCAUGCAGGUGGUUUGUUAAGUCAGAUGUGAAAGCCCCGGGGCUCAACCUCGGAAUUGCAUUUGAAACUGGCAAACUAGAGUACUGUAGAGGGGGUAGAAUUUCAGGUGUAGCGGUGAAAUGCGUAGAGAUCUGAAGGAAUACCGGUGGCGAAGGCGGCCCCCCUGGACAGAUACUGACACUCAGAUGCGAAAGCGUGGGGAGCAAACAGGAUUAGAUACCCUGGGAG
Molecule: ribosomal RNA, 473 nt
Filed under: uncultured bacterium
Lineage: Bacteria
Description: bacterial SSU rRNA
Rfam family: Bacterial small subunit ribosomal RNA
Source: RNAcentral